UACGUAGGGUCCAGGCGUUAUCCGGAAUUACUGGGUAUAAAGGGUGCGUAGGCGGCCUUGUGCGUCGAAGGUUAAAGGCCAUGGCUCAACCAUGGAAAUGCCCUCGACACGGCAAGGCUUGAAUAUGAGAGAGGAAGAUGGAAUUCCUGGUGUAGCAGUGAAAUGCGUAGAUAUCAGGAGGAACACCGGUGGCGAAGGCGGUCUUCUGGCUCAUUAUUGACGCUGAGGCACGAAAGUGUGGGGAGCGAACAGG
Molecule: ribosomal RNA, 253 nt
Filed under: uncultured bacterium
Lineage: Bacteria
Description: partial 16S ribosomal RNA
Rfam family: Bacterial small subunit ribosomal RNA
Source: RNAcentral